RNAcentral lists this long non-coding RNA (2643 nucleotides) under Salmo salar (Atlantic salmon). RNAcentral describes it as "lncRNA (ENSSSAG00000103710.1)". Lineage: Eukaryota; Metazoa; Chordata; Actinopteri; Salmoniformes; Salmonidae. The record is from RNAcentral.
CCCCCCCUCUCUCUCUUGCCACCUGCUGCUCAGUCAUACCCCAGGCAGAAAGAGGCUCAUGUUGGUAUCGUAUCGUAUGAGAGGUCUGUGAGGAAUGAGGACUGCUCUGUCUUUUCUCCUUUCUGUUAUCAUGUGUUGCCAGUCUCCAUCACGUCCUUUUGUGAUGAGAUUACACCAUCUGGCCAGCUGCUACUCACAACAAGCAACAGUCUCUCUCUCUCUCUCUCUCUCUCCAGGUAGCAUGCAGGCUUCUCCCCGUCUGGGCGUGUGUUCACCAUGUGAAGCUAGCUUCCUGCUAUGAGUGUGUGUUCACCAGGGUCAUAUUCAUUAGUGUACACUGUAGCAAAAUGGCAAUCAAAAACAAGCGUUUCUAAUUGGACAAGUCCAAGUCCUGUUUCAGUCUGUUUUCUUCAGUUUGGUGCUAGUGAACACCACCCAUGUGUAGCCUCCACUAUAACCACUCCCCGACUGCUAUGAGUGACAGUGAAAUGCUUCUCAACUCCUUGAUCCUGUCGGAGCAGAAGGCAGCAUUUGCCUUCAUAGGGAUGUUGCUGCUGGUCCUGGGCCUGCUCAUAGUCCGGUGUUUCAGGAUCCUUCUCGACCCCUACAGUAGCAUGCCCUCCUCCAACUGGUCUGACGGGAUAGAGGGGCUGGAGAAAGGGACAUUUGAAUACGCACUGACCUAACAUAGAAGGAUACACACAUCACAUCACAUACAUUGAUUGCAGAGGCAUGUAUGCACGUACACAAGCAAGCACACAGGAAUGAGUAUGCAUUCAUGCACGCGCACGCAGAAAACACACACACACACACACCACAGACACAUUAGAUCCCAACCAGCCCCUGAAAGCUGGAAUGAAUUAACUGAAGUUGAAGCUGUUUCGGUGAGCUUUUACUGAAACUGUCCAGCUCAUUGUCUUAGGUCGGCUUUGCUGUCAUCGUUCGAGGGACUACAGCGUCACGUAGGACUGAUGCCACCUGUGGAAAGACAAUGUGUUCCACAUGGGUAACAUGUGAGUUGGUAUUGAGCCUGGUUAGAGAGGCCACAGAGAACCCUGCCUGUGGCAAGAUGGAGGUCUCAGGGAAAACCCCCCCAUCUAGUGAUUCAUUUGGAGAAAGAUGAGAACGGACUAAUCCUGAUCCUGAUUCAGACACACAUGGCUCUGCUCUACACAACACAACAAUGUACGGAUGGAAACAGGGUAAUACAAGGAUACCAUACCAGAGCUAAUCAACCAUCAAAGUGCUGUCUGCCUGUCAUCCUAAUGGAUUGCUGUGUAGUUCAUUUAGGACGGUCCUAUAGAACAAGAUUGUUAUAUUACAGUCAGACUGAUAUUGACUGACCAACAUUGUUCUCAGUUUCAAACUGAUGAUGUUAAUAAUGUUGAUGAUGAUGGCGAAGAUGAGGAGGAGAAGGAGGAUGAUAAUGAUGAUGAUAUGUUUUUUAUUGAACCUUUUUUUAACUAGGCAAGUCAGUUAAGAACAAAUCCUUAUUUACAAUGACGGCCUACUUGGUCCAAACCCGGACGACGCUGGGCCAAUUGUGGGCCAAUUAUGCGCCGUGCUAUGGGACUCCCAAUCACGGCCGGAUGUGAUACAGCCUGGAUGAUGAUGAUGAUGAUGAUAAUUAGGAUAACAUUGAUGAUGAUGCUGAUAAUGUUAAUGAUGAUGAUGAUGGUGGUGAUGAUGAUUACGAUGAUGGUGAUGAUGAUGAUGAUAAUAAUAAUGAUGAUGAUGAUAACAUGAUGAUAAUGAUGAUAAUGAUGCUAAUGAUGAUGACUAGUGCAUUACAUGUGUGUCAUGUUGUUUUGUAAACCUACUGACCUGGCAGAGAGAUACUAUGUCUGAACUGUGAUAUAUCUGGACAUGGUGUACGGAACUGUUUCUAAUCAAUGCAACAAUGGUCUUCAGAGUGAAUACUGUAUGUAUGUACUGUUGAUGAGAGAAGAGAAGAGAAGAGAAGAGAAGAGAAGAGAAGAGAAGAGAAGAGAAGAGAAGAGAAGAGAAGAGAAGAGAAGAGAAGAGGCUGUCAUCUCUGAGAGACAGGUUUUUAACGUUGGGAGAGUCUGUCACUGGCUGUCUGCUGAGGGAAAGGUUACUGGGAUAAUGAUGGCAGAGGAGUGUUUAUCCACACUGCACACGCCUCACCCUUCCUCACACCUCCUACCCUGCACAGUCUCAUCCCCUCCUCACCCAUCCUCCCCUGCACAGGAGUCCCUCUCUCACCCCUCCUCACGCUUCCUACCCCCUCCUUCCUCUCCUUUAUCUACUCAACCUUCCUCCUCCUCACCCAUACUCACUCCUCCACACUAUCCUCCUCACUCUUCCUCACUCCUCCUAACCCCUAGGAAUGGAGGAGAGACCCUCACCCAGACAGAAACAGAAUUUUCAUCUCAGAAUGUUAAUCUCAGUGCUGUGAAUCUGCCUUACUGUGACCUAUGGGUUUACGUGCCUUUGUUUAGAAAUAUUUGCCCGUGUGUGUGUGUGCAUAUGCUUGUGUGUGUAUCUGUGUGUGCACGCACGUGUGUGUGUGUGAUCAUGCGUGUAUGUGUGAGUGCGUGUGUCAUGAUGACUGAUGACGGUGUAUCUACUCACCUGUUGCUCAGAGCCAGAGGAAGAGACAACUCAUUUGUUGGAAUAAAU